CCUACGGGAGGCAGCAGUGAGGAAUAUUGGUCAAUGGGCGCGAGCCUGAACCAGCCAAGUCGCGUGAGGGAAGACGGUCCUAUGGAUUGUAAACCUCUUUUGCCGGGGAGCAAAACACGCCACGUGUGGCGCUCCGAGUGUACCCGAAGAAAAAGCAUCGGCUAACUCCGUGCCAGCAGCCGCGGUAACACGGGGGAUGCGAGCGUUAUCCGGAUUGAUUGGGUUAAAGGGGUGGGCAGGCGGAAGAACAAGUCAGUGGUAAAGUUGAGAGGCUCAACCUCUUCGAGCCGUUGAAACUGGUUGUCUUGAGUGAGCGAGAAGUAUGCGGAAUGCGUAGUGUAGCGGUGAAAUGCAUAGAUAUCACGCAGAACUCCGAUUGCGAAGGCAGCAUACCGGCGCGCAACUGACGCUCAUGCACGAAAGUGUGGGUAUCGAACAGGAUUAGAUACCCGAGUAGUC
RNAcentral lists this ribosomal RNA (459 nucleotides) under uncultured bacterium. RNAcentral describes it as "partial 16S ribosomal RNA". It matches the Rfam family "Bacterial small subunit ribosomal RNA", at positions 338 to 795 of the family's 1533-position model. The record is from RNAcentral.